RNAcentral lists this small nucleolar RNA (201 nucleotides) under Echinops telfairi (small Madagascar hedgehog). Its description in RNAcentral is "Small nucleolar RNA SNORA73 family (ENSETEG00000026328.1)". Lineage: Eukaryota; Metazoa; Chordata; Mammalia; Afrosoricida; Tenrecidae. The record is from RNAcentral.
AUGGCUUGAACACUCCUGGGCAGUCACUCUCCCCAGCUCUGUCCAGCUGACGUGAGGGAGCACAGGGCUCUACCCAUGAUAAACAGUCCUUGUCCACAGCAUCGGAGAUUACAGGCGCCUUAGGCCUGGACCUGCACAUUCCAGCAGCUCCUCAGAGUCCCGUGGAUGGGGCCUGAGAGGCUAACCAAACAGGAAACACCC